This 334-nucleotide unclassified non-coding RNA is filed under the name soil metagenome. Its description in RNAcentral is "partial contains 5.8S ribosomal RNA, internal transcribed spacer 2, and large subunit ribosomal RNA". The stretch from base 1 to 120 matches the Rfam family "5.8S ribosomal RNA", at positions 35 to 154 of the family's 154-position model. The record is from RNAcentral.
GAUGAAGAACGCAGCAAAAUGCGAUAAGUAAUGUGAAUUGCAGAAUUCAGUGAAUCAUCGAAUCUUUGAACGCACAUUGCGCCCGCCAGUAUUCUGGCGGGCAUGCCUGUUCGAGCGUCAUUUCAACCAUCAAGCCCCCGGCUUGUGUUGGGGACCUGCGGCUGCCGCAGGCCCUGAAAUGCAGUGGCGGGCUCGCUGUCACUCCGAGCGUAGUAGUUACAUCUCGCUCUGGGCGUGCUGCGGGUUCCGGCCGUUAAAAGCCUUAUUUACCCAAGGUUGACCUCGGAUCAGGUAGGAAGACCCGCUGAACUUAAGCAUAUCAAUAAGCGGAGGA